ACGGCUCAUUAUUAACACCCGUAAUCUACCCAGUUUUCGUAUCCAAAACGGAUAUCUGCGUUAAUUUUGGAGCUAAUACGUGCACCAAAGCACCGCCAGCAAUGGUAGUGCGCACAUAUUAGAUCAAGACCUAUUGGGGCAACCCACUUGAUGACUCUGAAUAUUUUUGCGGAUCGCAUGGUCUUGUACCGGCGACGUACUGGUCGAGCGGGUGCCCUAUCAACUAUUGAUGGAAGUCUAUGUGUCUUCCAUGGUUGUAACGGGUAACGGAGAAUAAGGGUUCGACUCCGGAGAGCUAGCCUUAGAAACGGCUAUCACAUCCAAGGAAGGCAGCAGGCGCGUAAAUUACCCACUCUCAAUUCGAGGAGGUAGUGACUAUCAAUAACGAGACAGAUCUCUUUGAGGUCUGUCAUUGAAAUGAGCACAACUUAAAGACUUUAACGAAGUCUAUGGGAGGGCAAGUCUGGUGCCAGCAGCCGCGGUAAUUCCAGCUCCCAACGUGUAUAUCGUCAUUGCUGCGGUUAAAAAGCUCGUAGUUGGAUCUAAGUUCAUGACUGUAGUUCUCCAUGUGAGAUACUGCUAGUCUGGACUGUUUCGCCGGUUUUCCGUAGCUUCGGCUGCGGUGACUGGUGUUGUAACUUUGAUUAAAUCAAUGUGAUUAAAACAGGCGUUUGCUUGAAUGCUUUAUCAUGGAAUAAUAGAAUAUGACUUCGGUCCAUUCUGUUGGUCUUGGGAUUGAAGUAAUGAUUAAAAGGAACAACUCGGGGGCAUCCGUAUCGCUGCGUGAGAGGUGAAAUUCUUGGACCGCAGCGAGACGACCUAUUGCGAA
This 829-nucleotide ribosomal RNA is filed under the name Pristionchus sp. Amares_P2_apple. Its description in RNAcentral is "SSU rRNA". It matches the Rfam family "Eukaryotic small subunit ribosomal RNA", at positions 93 to 949 of the family's 1831-position model. The record is from RNAcentral. Lineage: Eukaryota; Metazoa; Nematoda; Chromadorea; Rhabditida; Neodiplogasteridae.